This 527-nucleotide ribosomal RNA is filed under the name Pseudogymnoascus pannorum. RNAcentral's name for it is "eukaryotic LSU rRNA". The stretch from base 168 to 321 matches the Rfam family "5.8S ribosomal RNA". Lineage: Eukaryota; Fungi; Ascomycota; Leotiomycetes; Thelebolales; Thelebolaceae. The record is from RNAcentral.
UCGCCCGGGUUGCCGCAAGGCCUCCCGGGUAACCUACCACCCUUUGUUUAUCACACUUUGUUGCUUUGGCAGGCCUGCCCUCGGGCUGCUGGCUCCGGCCGGCGAGCGCCUGCCAGAGGACCUAAACUCUGUUUGUCUAUACUGUCUGAGUACUAUAUAAUAGUUAAAACUUUCAACAACGGAUCUCUUGGUUCUGGCAUCGAUGAAGAACGCAGCGAAAUGCGAUAAGUAAUGUGAAUUGCAGAAUUCAGUGAAUCAUCGAAUCUUUGAACGCACAUUGCGCCCCCUGGUAUUCCGGGGGGCAUGCCUGUCCGAGCGUCAUUACAACCCUCAAGCUCAGCUUGGUGUUGGGCCCCGCCGCCCCGGCGGGCCCUAAAGUCAGUGGCGGUGCCGUCCGGCUCCGAGCGUAGUAAUUCUUCUCGCUCUGGAGGCCCGGUCGCGUGCCCGCCAGCAACCCCCAAUUUUUUUCAGGUUGACCUCGGAUCAGGUAGGGAUACCCGCUGAACUUAAGCAUAUCAAUAAGCGGA